This 253-nucleotide ribosomal RNA is filed under the name uncultured bacterium. Its description in RNAcentral is "partial 16S ribosomal RNA". It matches the Rfam family "Bacterial small subunit ribosomal RNA", at positions 524 to 776 of the family's 1533-position model. The record is from RNAcentral.
UACGUAGGGUGCGAGCGUUAAUCGGAAUUACUGGGCGUAAAGCGUGCGCAGGCGGUCUCGUAAGUCAGAUGUGAAAUCCCCGAGCUUAACUUGGGAACUGCAUCCGAAACUGUGAGACUAGAGUGUGUCAGAGGGAGGUAGAAUUCCACGUGUAGCAGUGAAAUGCGUAGAGAUGUGGAGGAAUACCAGUGGCGAAGGCGGCCUCCUGGGAUAAUACUGACGCUCAUGUACGAAAGAGUGGGGAGCAAACAGG